GAAGCAGCCAUCAUUUAAAGAAAGCGUAAUAGCUCACUAGUCGAGUCGGCCUGCGCGGAAGAUGUAACGGGGCUAAGUUGUAAACCGAAGCUGCGGCAAUGUUCUUUGAACAUUGGGUAGGGGAGCGUUCUGUAAGCCGUUGAAGGUGUGUUGUAAAGCAUGCUGGAGGUAUCAGAAGUGCGAAUGCUGACAUGAGUAACGACAAGGGGGGUGAAAAACCUCCCCGCCGGAAGACCAAGGGUUCCUGUCCAACGUUAAUCGGGGCAGGGUAAGUCGACCCCUAAGGCGAGGCCGAAAGGCGUAGUCGAUGGGAAACGGGUUAAUAUUCCCGUACUUCUUACAAUUGCGAUGGGGGGACGGAGAAGGCUAGGUGGGCCUGGCGACGGUUGUCCAGGUUCAAGUGCGUAGGCUGAGUGUUUAGGUAAAUCCGGACACUCUUAAGGCUGAGACACGACGUCGAGCUACUACGGUAGUGAAGUCAUUGAUGCCAUGCUUCCAGGAAAAGCCUCUAAGCUUCAGA
This 520-nucleotide ribosomal RNA is filed under the name Vibrio vulnificus. Its description in RNAcentral is "bacterial LSU rRNA". It matches the Rfam family "Bacterial large subunit ribosomal RNA", at positions 1109 to 1632 of the family's 2925-position model. Lineage: Bacteria; Pseudomonadati; Pseudomonadota; Gammaproteobacteria; Vibrionales; Vibrionaceae. The record is from RNAcentral.